RNAcentral lists this ribosomal RNA (558 nucleotides) under Chattonella marina var. antiqua. RNAcentral's name for it is "bacterial SSU rRNA". It matches the Rfam family "Bacterial small subunit ribosomal RNA", at positions 921 to 1485 of the family's 1533-position model. Lineage: Eukaryota; Raphidophyceae; Chattonellales; Chattonellaceae. The record is from RNAcentral.
CCGCACAAGCGGUGGAGCAUGUGGUUUAAUUCGAUGCAACGCGAAGAACCUUACCAGGGUUUGACAUAAUGUGAAUUUCUUUGAAAGAAGAAAGUGCCUUCGGGAACACAUAUACAGGUGGUGCAUGGCUGUCGUCAGCUCGUGUCGUGAGAUGUUGGGUUAAGUCCCGCAACGAGCGUAACCCUUGUUUUUAGUUACCUUUAUUUGGAUAUCUAGAAAGACUGCCGAUUAUAAAUCGGAGGAAGGUAAGGACGACGUCAAGUCAUCAUGCCCCUUACACCCUGGGCUACACACGUGCUACAUUGGGUAGAACAGUGAGUCGCUAAGUUGUGAAACCAAGCUAAUCUUCAAAUCUACUCUAAGUUCGGAUUGUAGGCUGCAACUCGCCUACAUAAAGAUGGAAUCGCUAGUAAUCGCUGGUCAGCUACACAGCGGUGAAUCCGUUCCCGGGCCUUGUACACACCGCCCGUCACACCAUGGAAGCUGGUCAUACCCAAAGUCGUUAUUCUAACCGUAUGGAGGAAGGCGCCUAAGGUAGGAUUGGUGACUGGGGUGAAG